UGGGGAAUAUUGCACAAUGGGGGAAACCCUGAUGCAGCGACGCCGCGUGAACGAAGAAGGUAUUCGUAUCGUAAAGUUCUGUCCUAUGGGAAGAUAAUGACAGUACCAUAGAAGAAAGCUCCGGCUAAAUACGUGCCAGCAGCCGCGGUAAUACGUAUGGAGCGAGCGUUGUCCGGAAUUAUUGGGCGUAAAGGGUACGCAGGCGGUUUAAUAAGUCGAAUGUUAAAGAUCGGGGCUCAACCCCGCAAAGCAUUGGAAACUGAUAAACUUGAGUAGUGGAGAGGAAAGUGGAAUUCCUUGUGUAGUGGUGAAAUACGUAGAUAUUAGGAGGAAUACCAGUAGCGAAGGCGACUUUCUGGACACAAACUGACGCUGAGGUACGAAAGCGUGGGGAGCAAACAGG
This 403-nucleotide ribosomal RNA is filed under the name bacterium. Its description in RNAcentral is "partial 16S ribosomal RNA". It matches the Rfam family "Bacterial small subunit ribosomal RNA", at positions 355 to 776 of the family's 1533-position model. The record is from RNAcentral.